CCAGACUCCUACGGGAGGCAGCAGUGGGGAAUAUUGCACAAUGGGCGGAAGCCUGAUGCAGCAACGCCGCGUGCGGGAUGACGGCCUUCGGGUUGUAAACCGCUUUCGCCUGUGACGAAGCGUGAGUGACGGUAAUGGGUAAAGAAGCACCGGCUAACUACGUGCCAGCAGCCGCGGUGAUACGUAGGGUGCGAGCGUUGUCCGGAUUUAUUGGGCGUAAAGGGCUCGUAGGUGGUUGAUCGCGUCGGAAGUGUAAUCUUGGGGCUUAACCCUGAGCGUGCUUUCGAUACGGGUUGACUUGAGGAAGGUAGGGGAGAAUGGAAUUCCUGGUGGAGCGGUGGAAUGCGCAGAUAUCAGGAGGAACACCAGUGGCGAAGGCGGUUCUCUGGGCCUUUCCUGACGCUGAGGAGCGAAAGCGUGGGGAGCGAACAGGCUUAGAUACCCUGGUAGUCCACGCUGUAAACGGUGGGUACUAGGUGUGGGGUCCAUUCCACGGGUUCCGUGCCGUAGCUAACGCUUUAAGUACCCCGCCUGGGGAGUACGGCCGCAAGGCUAAAACUCAAAGGAAUUGA
Molecule: ribosomal RNA, 572 nt
Filed under: uncultured bacterium
Lineage: Bacteria
Description: bacterial SSU rRNA
Rfam family: Bacterial small subunit ribosomal RNA
Source: RNAcentral